AUUGAACGCUGGCGGCAUGCCUUACACAUGCAAGUCGAACGGCAGCGGACCUUCGGGUGCCGGCGAGUGGCGAACGGGUGAGUAAAGUAUCGGAACGUACCUUUCAGUGGGGGAUAACUGUCCGAAAGGACAGCUAAUACCGCAUAUUCUGUGAGCAGGAAAGCAGGGGAUCGCAAGACCUUGCGCUGAUUGAGCGGCCGAUAUCAGAUUAGCUAGUUGGUGAGGUAAAGGCUCACCAAGGCGACGAUCUGUAGCGGGUCUGAGAGGAUGAUCCGCCACACUGGAACUGAGACACGGUCCAGACUCCUACGGGAGGCAGCAGUGGGGAAUUUUGGACAAUGGGCGCAAGCCUGAUCCAGCCAUGCCGCGUGAGUGAAGAAGGCCUCGG
RNAcentral lists this ribosomal RNA (388 nucleotides) under uncultured bacterium. RNAcentral's name for it is "bacterial SSU rRNA". It matches the Rfam family "Bacterial small subunit ribosomal RNA", at positions 30 to 420 of the family's 1533-position model. The record is from RNAcentral.